UGGGGAAUAUUGGACAAUGGGCGAAAGCCUGAUCCAGCCAUGCCGCGUGUGUGAAGAAGGUCUUCGGAUUGUAAAGCACUUUAAGUUGGGAGGAAGGGCAGUAAGCGAAUACCUUGCUGUUUUGACGUUACCGACAGAAUAAGCACCGGCUAACUCUGUGCCAGCAGCCGCGGUAAUACAGAGGGUGCAAGCGUUAAUCGGAAUUACUGGGCGUAAAGCGCGCGUAGGUGGUUCGUUAAGUUGAAUGUGAAAGCCCCGGGCUCAACCUGGGAACUGCAUCCAAAACAGGCGAGCUAGAGUAGGGCAGAGGGUGGUGGAAUUUCCUGUGUAGCGGUGAAAUGCGUAGAUAUAGGAAGGAACACCAGUGGCGAAGGCGACCACCUGGGCUCAUACUGACACUGAGGUGCGAAAGCGUGGGGAGCAAACAGG
RNAcentral lists this ribosomal RNA (429 nucleotides) under Pseudomonadota bacterium. Its description in RNAcentral is "Proteobacteria bacterium partial 16S ribosomal RNA". It matches the Rfam family "Bacterial small subunit ribosomal RNA", at positions 355 to 776 of the family's 1533-position model. Lineage: Bacteria; Pseudomonadati; Pseudomonadota. The record is from RNAcentral.